RNAcentral lists this ribosomal RNA (468 nucleotides) under uncultured bacterium. Its description in RNAcentral is "partial 16S ribosomal RNA". It matches the Rfam family "Bacterial small subunit ribosomal RNA", at positions 28 to 507 of the family's 1533-position model. The record is from RNAcentral.
GACGAACGCUGGCGGCGUGCUUAACACAUGCAAGUCGAACGGAAAGGCCCUGCUUUUGUGGGGUGCUCGAAUGGCGAACGGGUGAGUAACACGUGAGUAACCUGCCCUUGACUUUGGGAUAACUUCAGGAAACUGGGGCUAAUACCGGAUAGGAGCUCCUGCUGCAUGGUGGGGGUUGGAAAGUUUCGGCGGUUGGGGAUGGACUCGCGGCUUAUCAGCUUGUUGGUGGGGUAGUGGCUUACCAAGGCUUUGACGGGUAGCCGGCAUGAGUGGGGGGCCGGCCACAUUGGGACUGAGAGACGGCCCAGAGUCGUACGGGGGGCAGCAGUGGGGAAGAUUGCACAAUGGGCGGAAGUCGGAUACAGCAACGCCGCGGGCGGGAUGACGGCCUUCGGGUUGUAAACAGCUUUCGCCUGUGACGAAGCGGGAGUGACGGUAAUGGGUAAAGAAGCACCGGCUAACUACGUG